This 62-nucleotide transfer RNA is filed under the name Oxalobacteraceae bacterium. RNAcentral's name for it is "tRNA-OTHER". It matches the Rfam family "tRNA". Rfam says of the family: Transfer RNA (tRNA) molecules are approximately 80 nucleotides in length. Their secondary structure includes four short double-helical elements and three loops (D, anti-codon, and T loops). Further hydrogen bonds mediate the characteristic L-shaped molecular structure. tRNAs have two regions of fundamental functional importance: the anti-codon, which is responsible for specific mRNA codon recognition, and the 3' end, to which the tRNAs corresponding amino acid is attached (by aminoacyl-tRNA synthetases). tRNAs cope with the degeneracy of the genetic code in two manners: having more than one tRNA (with a specific anti-codon) for a particular amino acid; and 'wobble' base-pairing, i.e. permitting non-standard base-pairing at the 3rd anti-codon position. Lineage: Bacteria; Pseudomonadati; Pseudomonadota; Betaproteobacteria; Burkholderiales; Oxalobacteraceae. The record is from RNAcentral.
CCCAGCGUAGCUCAAUGGGAGAGCGCCUGACGGAGACGCGGGUUCGAUUCCCGUCGUUGCGG